UAUACUGUGGUAUAUCCUGUAGUAUUUAGUACCAUGGUAUCUGUUAACAGCACUGUACCAUGUUGCCACCGUACUGUGUUGUUAAUGCUGACAUCAAAUAUGCAUGGCUUAUUUUUUAUUUUAUUUUAUUAUUUUUUUAAACUUGCAAUUUAACCGCAGCCUCAAUGGGUAGUUGUGACAAACUGGUCCACAGUUUAUACAGAAACCUUUACAUAAUUAUUUAAACCGCAGACAGCUUCUCUAUUAUAUCCUCCAUGCUACACUCACACUGCUAAGACAUGCAUAACUGCAAGAGAGGAGUUGCUACAAUAUAGCUAGAACGACUUGUUUGUUGAGUGUACAUUUUGUGAUCUGAUCCAUAAUUUGCCCUGUAGUCAACACAAUAUACAGUAUACUAUGUGACAGGCUAUAUUGGCAAAUAUUUUUCUCUUAUUUAUGGAAAAUGUACAUUUAUUGCAUCUAGAUUGAUAUAAACGUGUGUGUGAGAGAGAACUUCUUUUCGGUCCAUAUUUUGUACAAGUCUCCCAAUCGUUUUCGCCGCACAUCCUCGUGCGUCCCAUGUUUUAGGGAUUGACGCGGUGGAGCUCAUCUCAUGCUGCUGCCGCCGCCGCCGUCUGUCUCACACUCAUGGAUCAUCACAUCCAGACAGGUGCCGUGGAGUGCUGUACCCAUCUGAAACCGUGUCAGCAUCGCGCUUGUGUUCGUCGGGAAAGGAAGCCUAAGAUGAAUGGUGGCGACAGCAUUCAAGACCUCAUCCAAAAGAAAGCCACCCUGCUGUCCAUUUCCAUCUACCUCUGAGAACGUCGUUGAGCCAACGAAAGAAGAAUUAGUCCACCAGUGAACGACAGCAAUGUUGUACAGUCUUUUAAAGUAAGAGCUCUUAAAAAUCCUCAGGCUUUUCUCUUGAUCCAUCAUCAGACCAGUUUCAAAGUCUUCCUCCAACACCAGAACACAGUGUGUCCUUGAUCUGUGAAUAUAAGAGAUGUGAAAAGUAAGACGCACGUGUUCACACAGGAUCAGACGAUCAGGAGGACCCCUGGGUGACAAAUAAUGACAGCAGAGUGAUGGUGACUUCAACAAGCAGGGCUUUGAAGCGCUGAGCUGCACAGGUCACAGAUCAGAGCGGUGUCUUCUGGGGCUGACAGCUGGUCUGAGGGAGGGAGGCUGUCUCUGUG
Long non-coding RNA from Cyprinus carpio (common carp), 1175 nucleotides. RefSeq lists it as uncharacterized. The transcript has 3 exons. Lineage: Eukaryota; Metazoa; Chordata; Actinopteri; Cypriniformes; Cyprinidae. The record is from RefSeq and is a predicted model, not a curated record.